RNAcentral lists this ribosomal RNA (458 nucleotides) under uncultured bacterium. Its description in RNAcentral is "partial 16S ribosomal RNA". It matches the Rfam family "Bacterial small subunit ribosomal RNA", at positions 338 to 795 of the family's 1533-position model. The record is from RNAcentral.
CCUACGGGAGGCUGCAGUGAGGAAUAUUGGUCAAUGGGCGCGAGCCUGAACCAGCCAAGUAGCGUGAAGGAUGACUGCCCUACGGGUUGUAAACUUCUUUUAUAAAGGAAUAAAGUGAGGCACGUGUGCCUUUUUGUAUGUACUUUAUGAAUAAGGAUCGGCUAACUCCGUGCCAGCAGCCGCGGUAAUACGGAGGAUCCGAGCGUUAUCCGGAUUUAUUGGGUUUAAAGGGAGCGUAGAUGGGUUGUUAAGUCAGUUGUGAAAGUUUGCGGCUCAACCGGGCCGGCCGUUGAAACUGGGGAUCUUGAGUGGGCGAGAAGUAUGCGGAAUGCGUGGUGUAGCGGUGAAAUGCGUAGAUAUGACGCAGAACUCCGAUUGCGAAGGCAGCAUACCGGCGCCCGACUGACGCUGAGGCACGAAAGCGUGGGGAUCGAACAGGAUUAGAUACCCGAGUAGUC